Triticum aestivum (bread wheat) is the source of this 133-nucleotide non-coding RNA. The record is from Rfam. Lineage: Eukaryota; Viridiplantae; Streptophyta; Magnoliopsida; Poales; Poaceae.
ACAGUACUUCCUCCGUCCGAAAAUACUUGUCAUCAAAAUGGAUAAAAAUGAGUGUAUCUAUAAGUAAAAUACAUUAGAUACAUCCCUUUUAUUCAUUUUGAUGACAAAUAUUUUCGGACGGAGGGAGUACCAC